GAAAAAUCUCAGCAGUCAAAUACCACCAAAAGAAAGCUGUAUUUGUGAGAAGAAAAGGCGGUUCCUACAAUAUAGGAUCCUCUCAGUGGAUAUCUUCUAUAUGACAUCAAUCUCCUGAUUGACCCUUCAAGGAUGGAUAGGGACAGGGACAAGAUGGCGGAGAGUAUAAUAAAUCUCACCCUAGAGGUCCUCUUCCGGCUUACUGGAGAGGACUACACAGUAGUGAAGAAGACCUCUAGUGAGUGCUGUCAGGACCCUGUGUCUGAAGGAU
Molecule: long non-coding RNA, 271 nt
Organism: Bufo gargarizans (Asiatic toad)
Lineage: Eukaryota; Metazoa; Chordata; Amphibia; Anura; Bufonidae
Exons: 3
Source: RefSeq, a predicted model, not a curated record